Molecule: long non-coding RNA, 1691 nt
Filed under: Nicotiana tabacum (common tobacco)
Lineage: Eukaryota; Viridiplantae; Streptophyta; Magnoliopsida; Solanales; Solanaceae
Description: long non-coding RNA (NTAB_LNC015552)
Source: RNAcentral
UGCAACUUCCACUCUUACAAGAAUGUUAGCCAAAGACCUAAUGAGGUCUAUCUCGAAUGGUAAUGCAAAAACCCUUGAAAUUUAAAGUCUUGAAUUUAACUAUACUGAAGUACGGUGCCCCUCAGUAUUUAUUCUUUUGGCAUGUAAAUAACUGUAUGAUAAGUGGUGAUUUUACCAUAUAUUCUAGUCUCAUUUUCUUUAGUUUUUGGUUCAUUUAUUUAUAAAGUGAGGUUAUUUAUUAUGUUAAGUUAGCAUUUCAGGUUUGUUGAAGAUUAAUUGAUGUUGGAGUCAAACGAAGGUUGAAUGUUCAAAAAGAUAAGACAAUUGGAUGAAAUGCCUUCAGUUGUCGCACCUGCGGAUAAUGCCCCGCACCUGCGGGCUCGCACAUGCGAUCAAGAUGAUCGCAUAUGCGAAAAAUGGAUAGAUUCAGCACCUUCGCACAUCUGCGGAGUAAAAGAGUCGCAUCUGCGAAAGUGGACUGAGCCAAGUCCUUCGCAUCUACGAGGAAUUCCAUCGCACCUGCGCCCCGGUACCUUCGCACCUGAGAUAUAAGAAUCCACAUCUGUGAUGUUGGAGGGAAUCAAGCCCUUCGCAUCCGCGCGGGCUUUCACGCAUCUGUGUCCCCUUUUCUCUUGCACCUGCGAUGCAAUUCUGCAGGUGCGAUCGACAAUCUUUAGUUCAAGGCAGACUUGCCAUUUCACAUUUUCGGAUCCCAAAUCACAUAUACUCGACCUAGCUCAUUUUGAAACACAUCUUUGGCAUUUGAAAAGAAAAUACAAGCUUUGGAGCUUGGGUUUCUUGCACCAACUUGGGGAUUGAAGAUUUGAAGACUUUGGAUGAGAUUUUGUUACCCUUUUUACUCAUUUUUUAAUUCCUUGUUAUGUAUUGAAUAUUUAAGUGUAUAGUAUUUAUUCCAAUACUUGAAACUUGUUUAUGAAAAUAUUCAUUGUGAAAGUUUGGAUUAAAUCUCUUGUUAUGCUUAUGUAGUGAAUGAUUUUUAUUAAUUAUGAAGUGAGUUAAAUAUUUCUUUAAUUAUUCUUAUUCUUUAAUGUUUCCAAAGGGAUUAGCUAACCCUAGAACUCGCCCAUUAACUUCGAAUUAAUCUUGGAAAAGGCAAACUCGGGGUUGGGAAAGACUAAUUAACAAACAGUUGAGGCGUUGAUAGUAGGCUAUCACUAUGUAGUUUGGCCACUAUUUGCACUCUAAAUUGGCUGCACUUCAUUGAUGUUUGAGUGCUAAAUGAUAAUAAAUUACUUUGAUUGAGUAUUUUUAUGCUUUGCAGGAGCAAUUCCGGGCUACAAUGAGGUUAAGGAGUGUUUUGAGAUAAUAUGGAGCGUUGAAGGCCAAGUAAAGGCUUAUGGAGUAAAUUUGGAGUUCGUUCAAGGAUCGAAGGAAGUUAGUGCAUUUAAAAAGAAGAACAAAGAAGAGUGCAGAAAAUCGCCUAGGUGCGCGACCGCGCACUGACCGCGCAAGUCAGGCAAAAACUGGCCAAAGUGCGCGGCCAGAUGCGCGGUCACCUGCAUAGGUGCGCGACUGCGCACGUCCUUCCGAGAAAAAUUAGUCCAGGGCUAAAAUUGUAAUCUCAGAGGCGACUGUCCUUAACCUAUAUGAAGCCCAGCUCGCCCAAAAAGAGGGUAUCUUGGUUUUUAGGAGAAUUUUGAAGGCAAGAACAGGCAAGGAUCAAGACGGAA